UACAGAGGUCUCAAGCGUUGUUCGGAUUUACUGGGCGUAAAGGGCGCGUAGGCGGCAUGACAAGUCACUUGUGAAAUCUCCGGGCUUAACUCGGAACGGCCAAGUGAUACUGUCAAGCUAGAGUGCAGAAAGGGCAAUCGGAAUUCUUGGUGUAGCGGUGAAAUGCGUAGAUAUCAAGAGGAACACCUGAGGCGAAGGCGGGUUGCUAGGCUGACACUGACGCUGAAGCGCGAAAGCCAGGGGAGCAAACGGG
RNAcentral lists this ribosomal RNA (253 nucleotides) under uncultured bacterium. RNAcentral's name for it is "partial 16S ribosomal RNA". It matches the Rfam family "Bacterial small subunit ribosomal RNA", at positions 524 to 776 of the family's 1533-position model. The record is from RNAcentral.